This 462-nucleotide ribosomal RNA is filed under the name uncultured bacterium. RNAcentral describes it as "partial 16S ribosomal RNA". It matches the Rfam family "Bacterial small subunit ribosomal RNA", at positions 28 to 507 of the family's 1533-position model. The record is from RNAcentral.
GACGAACGCUGGCGGCGUGCUUAACACAUGCAAGUCGAACGGAAAGGCCCUUCGGGGUACUCGAGUGGCGAACGGGUGAGUAACACGUGGGUGAUCUGCCCUGCACUUUGGGAUAAGCCUGGGAAACUGGGUCUAAUACCGAAUAGGACCACGCGCUUCAUGGUGUGUGGUGGAAAGCUUUUGCGGUGGGGGAUGGGCCCGCGGCCUAUCAGCUUGUUGGUGGGGUAAUGGCCUACCAAGGCGACGACGGGUAGCCGGCCUGAGAGGGUGACCGGCCACACUGGGACUGAGAUACGGCCCAGACUCCUACGGGAGGCAGCAGUGGGGAAUAUUGCACAAUGGGCGCAAGCCUGAUGCAGCGACGCCGCGUGAGGGAUGACGGCCUUCGGGUUGUAAACCUCUUUCACCAGGGACGAAGCGUAAGUGACGGUACCUGGAGAAGAAGCACCGGCCAACUACGUG